This 356-nucleotide long non-coding RNA is filed under the name Nicotiana benthamiana. Its description in RNAcentral is "long non-coding RNA (NBEN_LNC008871)". The record is from RNAcentral. Lineage: Eukaryota; Viridiplantae; Streptophyta; Magnoliopsida; Solanales; Solanaceae.
AGUAUUUUUGUUAGAAUCCAUGGUCAAUGAACCGGCUUAAACGAACAACUUUUCAACAGACAGAGUAUAACCAAAAACAGGUAUUCACACACAAUAACCAGCAAACAGAGUAUAACCAAAAACCAAAUCAGGUAUUCACAGACAACACCAGAUGCUCACAUACACAGAGUCAGAUAAUCACAUAUAAUACCGAAGAUAAGGACAGAGUUACCCUCCUUACAACACCAGAUGCUCACAUACACAGAGUCAGAUAAUCACAUAUAAUACCGAAGGUAAGGACAGAGUUACCCUCCUUCUUCGCGACCGGAGAAGAUCGGCCAUCAAACAACAGAGAAACCCUAGGUAUCAAACCCUAG